UCUGAUAAUGAAGACCAUGAUGAAGUCUUCGGAGGAAGCAUUCCAAAGCCCACUUGUGACCAGCAGAGAAGAAAAGGCAGUUACAAGCUGAUCCUCUUCUUGGGGCUUGUUCCUCUGUGAGUCCUCAGUGAGGACUUGGCCAGUCCGUUCCCACGCAGUCUUGCCUGCAGUCUGGCUCCACCUCACGAUGUCAGAACUUGACUACCACGGUGGACUGAGUCUUUGAAAAGCCAAGUCAUCAUUCCAGUCUUCAGGACAGAUGAAAAAUCUCUAUACUUUUCCACCGUAGAAUCUAGGUAUAUGAUUAGGAACCUGGAUAUUCUGACUUCUGGGUCCCUUCCAGACUUCCUGAGUCUGAAUUUCUGAGUAACCAUAAGAAUAAAUCACUAAAAAGGGGGAUAUGGUGACUGAUGGAGCUAAGGGAGAAGAGAAGAGAUAACAAACACUCCAGGAACUCAUAGGUGGGAAAAAUCACGCAAGGAUGGGAUAGUUGGAAAGACUUCUGAGAAGAAAGCUGCCGUCUUCCAGGUUCUGAUGCCUCCGAUGCUUAAGAGAACAGCAACAAGCUGGGAUUUGGAGAGACUGUGAGGGUCCCUGCUUUUUGAGCCUUAUUUGUGGUUCAGGCCCAGACUGAUAAGAGGAAGUACAAGUUGCAGUGAGAUGCAGUGGGCAGGAAUGGAUUCAUACCAUCAGAUGGAAAUGACAAAACAUCCUGCAGAAACUGUCAUCAUCACAUGGGUUUGGGGCCUCAUAUAAGUAUAAUUAGCUAGGAUUCCAAUUCAAGAUACUGAGUAUGGCGAGGAGGAGAGUCAGAGGGAGAAGCAGUCUCCCCACUGAGCAGUGGAGCCUGAUGCAGGGCUCGAUCCGAGGACCCUAGCAUCAUAACCUGAGCCGAAGGCAGAUGCUCAACUGACUGAGCCACCCAGCAAUGAAUUCCUGUUGCUCCACAACCUCGCCAGCAUUUGCUGAUGUCACUGUUCUGGACUGUCACAGAAAAAUCCAAAGCAAUGCUACUUGGCAGAAGGAAGGAAGAUUCUGAGUGUUUGGCAAUUAAUACAACUUAUCCUUUUGGCCAAGAAAAUUUAGUUAAAGAGACUUUUUUAAAAAAGCUUAAUAUGUAAUACCUUUUCUGGGUUCCUCGAUAUUAAUGGGAAAAUCAGAGUCAUCCAAACAUACUUUUUACUUAUCCCAAGGGAAAGCAGCUAUUGGAUUAUUCGCUCUGAGUUAUAUCAUUGCUCUACUGUUUGAUGAUGUGUUGGGCAUUAGAGGACUAACUAUUGCAGACUAGUGUGGGUGUUGGUUAUUUUGAAGCUCAGUUUAUGUGAAAAUAACUCUUCACAAGUUGCUGUAUGUUGUAUUGUUUGGCCCAGAGAGUUGAUACAAGUCUUAAAGCUGGAGAUUGUGUGAUAAAUAAUGCAGGGUAGAAACUUGCCUCACUAAUUAAUUAGAAUCCUGUGAACCAGAGUGAGUGAGUCAGAUACAUCCAAACAGGUAGAAUUGGUCUGUAAGACUGUUCUAGAUGUAAGGCAACCACCAUUUGGGAUCUAGAUGCUGCACACACACAAAAAAAAAAAUGAUUCAAAAGUUUGGAACAGAUUUUUGCUUAAAGAUACUGCCACUCAACACAAUUAUAUUUACAGAUGCAUACAAUAAUAUAUACCAAAUAAAUAAUAAAGAAUUAAACUGAAGGAAUUUUGAGAG
Canis lupus familiaris (dog) is the source of this 1701-nucleotide long non-coding RNA. RefSeq lists it as uncharacterized. The transcript has 7 exons. NCBI's taxonomy places the organism in Eukaryota, Metazoa, Chordata, Mammalia, Carnivora, Canidae. The record is from RefSeq and is a predicted model, not a curated record.